RNAcentral lists this ribosomal RNA (497 nucleotides) under uncultured bacterium. RNAcentral's name for it is "partial 16S ribosomal RNA". It matches the Rfam family "Bacterial small subunit ribosomal RNA", at positions 28 to 507 of the family's 1533-position model. The record is from RNAcentral.
GAUGAACGCUGGCGGCGUGCCUAAUACAUGCAAGUCGAGCGAACAGAUGAGGAGCUUGCUCCUCUGACGUUAGCGGCGGACGGGUGAGUAACACGUGGAUAACCUACCUAUAAGACUGGGAUAACUUCGGGAAACCGGAGCUAAUACCGGAUAAUAUAUUGAACCGCAUGGUUCAAUAGUGAAAGACGGUUUUGCUGUCACUUAUAGAUGGAUCCGCGCCGCAUUAGCUAGUUGGUAAGGUAACGGCUUACCAAGGCGACGAUGCGUAGCCGACCUGAGAGGGUGAUCGGCCACACUGGAACUGAGACACGGUCCAGACUCCUACGGGAGGCAGCAGUAGGGAAUCUUCCGCAAUGGGCGAAAGCUUGACGGAGCAACGCCGCGUGAGUGAUGAAGGUCUUCGGAUCGUAAAACUCUGUUAUUAGGGAGGAACAAAUGUGUAAGUAACUAUGCACGUCUUGACGGUACCUAAUCAGAAAGCCACGGCUAACUACGUG